Molecule: ribosomal RNA, 465 nt
Filed under: uncultured bacterium
Lineage: Bacteria
Description: partial 16S ribosomal RNA
Rfam family: Bacterial small subunit ribosomal RNA
Source: RNAcentral
CCUACGGGUGGCAGCAGUAGGGAAUUUUCCACAAUGGGCGAAAGCCUGAUGGAGCAACGCCGCGUGGGUGAUGAAGGUCUUCGGAUCGUAAAACCCUGUUGUUAGAGAAGAAAGUGCGCGAGAGUAACUGUUUACGUUUCGACGGUAUCUAACCAGAAAGCCACGGCUAACUACGUGCCAGCAGCCGCGGUAAUACGUAGGUGGCAAGCGUUAUCCGGAUUUAUUGGGCGUAAAGGGAACGCAGGCGGUCUUUUAAGUCUGUUGUGAAAGCCUUCGGCUUAACCGGAGGAUUGCAUUGGAUACUGGCAACCUUGAGUGCAGAAGAGGUAAGUGGAAUUCCAGGUGUAGCGGUGAAAUGCGUAGAUAUAUGGAAGAACACCAAUGGCGAAGGCAGCUCUCUGGUCUGUAACUGACGCUGAGGUUCGAAAGCGUGGGUAGCAAACAGGAUUAGAUACCCUUGUAGUC